This 301-nucleotide ribosomal RNA is filed under the name uncultured bacterium. RNAcentral's name for it is "partial 16S ribosomal RNA". It matches the Rfam family "Bacterial small subunit ribosomal RNA", at positions 509 to 807 of the family's 1533-position model. The record is from RNAcentral.
CAGUCGCCACGGUAAUACGAAGGGGGCUAGCGUUGUUCGGAAUUACUGGGCGUAAAGGGCGCGUAGGCGGCCAUUCAAGUUAGAUGUGAAAGCCCUGGGCUCAACCUAGGAAUUGCAUUUGAUACUGUUUGGCUUGAGUUCGGGAGAGGUGAGUGGAAUUCCCAGUGUAGAGGUGAAAUUCGUAGAUAUUGGGAAGAACACCAGUGGCGAAGGCGGCUCACUGGACCGACACUGACGCUGAGGCGCGAAAGCGUGGGGAGCAAACAGGAUUAGAGACCCCAGUAGUCCCUGUCUCUUAUAC